GAAAUCCCGGGCAACUGGGAGAGUAAAGUGGCGCACGGGUGAGUAGCGCGUGGGUAAUCUACCCUUAAGUUGGGAAUAACACCUCGAAAGGGGUGCUAAUUCCGAAUAACGUCCCUGGGACCCCGGUCCUGGGGAUCAAAGAUGGCUGAGGCUUGCAAGCUAUCGCUUAAGGAUGAGCCCGCGUACCAUUAGCUAGUUGAUGGGGUUAUUUCCCACCAAGNCCGAAGUGGUUAGCUGGUCUGAGAGGAUGGCCAGCCACACNGGAACNCACGUCGCGGUCCAGGAAGNUANNNNANNCNUUCA
Molecule: unclassified non-coding RNA, 303 nt
Filed under: uncultured bacterium
Lineage: Bacteria
Description: partial contains 16S ribosomal RNA and 16S-23S ribosomal RNA intergenic spacer region
Rfam family: Bacterial small subunit ribosomal RNA
Source: RNAcentral